CCUACGGGAGGCAGCAGUGAGGAAUAUUGGUCAAUGGACGAGAGUCUGAACCAGCCAAGUAGCGUGAAGGAUGACAGCCCUAUGGGUUGGAAACUUCUUUUAUAUGGGAAUAAAACGUUCCACGUGUGGGAUUUUGUAUGUACCUUAUGAAUAAGGAUCGGCUAACUCCGUGCCAGCAGCCGCGGUAAUACGGAGGUUCCGAGCGUUAUCCGGAUUUGUUGGGUUUAAAGGGAGCGUAGGUGGGUUGUUAAGUCAGUUGUGAAAGUUUGCGGCUCAACCGUAAAAUUGCAGUUGAAACUGGCAGUCUUGAGUACAGUAGAGGUUGGCGGAAUUCGUGGUGUAGCGGUGAAAUGCUUAGAUAUCACGCAGAACUCCGAUUGCGAAGGCAGUUCACUGGACUGCAACUGACACUGAGGCUCGAAAGUGUGGGUAUCAAACAGGAUUAGAUACCCCAGUAGUC
Molecule: ribosomal RNA, 460 nt
Filed under: uncultured bacterium
Lineage: Bacteria
Description: partial 16S ribosomal RNA
Rfam family: Bacterial small subunit ribosomal RNA
Source: RNAcentral